AUGCAGUCGAGCGGUAACCAGAGAGCUUGCUCUCGGGUGACGAGCGGCGGACGGGUGAGUAAUGUCUGGGAAACUGCCUGAUGGAGGGGGAUAACUACUGGAAACGGUAGCUAAUACCGCAUAACGUCGCAAGACCAAAGAGGGGGACCUUCGGGCCUCUUGCCAUCASAUGUGCCCAGAUGGGAUUAGCUAGUAGGUGGGGUAACGGCUCACCUAGGCGACGAUCCCUAGCUGGUCUGAGAGGAUGACCAGCCACACUGGAACUGAGACACGGUCCAGACUCCUACGGGAGGCAGCAGUGGGGAAUAUUGCACAAUGGGCGCAAGCCUGAUGCASCCAUGCCSCGUGUAUGAAGAAGGCCUUCKGGUUGUAAAGUACUUUCAGCGGGGAGGAAGGUGUUGAGGUUAAUAACCUCAGCAAUUGACGUUACCCGCAGAAAAAACACCGGCUAACUCCGUGCCAACASCCGCGGUAAUACGGAGGGUGCAAGCGUUAAUCGGAAUUACUGGGCGUAAAGCGCACGCAGGCGGUCUGUCAAGUCGGAUGUGAAAUCYCCGGGCUCAACCUGGGAACUGCAUUCUAAACUGGGAGGCUAUAGUCUUGUAGAGGGGGGUAGAAUUCCASGUGUAGCGGUGAAAUGCGUAGAGAUCUGGAGGAAUACCGGUGGCGAAGGCGGCCCCCUG
This 683-nucleotide ribosomal RNA is filed under the name Enterobacter asburiae. Its description in RNAcentral is "bacterial SSU rRNA". It matches the Rfam family "Bacterial small subunit ribosomal RNA", at positions 55 to 731 of the family's 1533-position model. Lineage: Bacteria; Pseudomonadati; Pseudomonadota; Gammaproteobacteria; Enterobacterales; Enterobacteriaceae. The record is from RNAcentral.